UUAAAUUGAAGAGUUUGAUCAUGGCUCAGAUUGAACGCUGGCGGCAGGCCUAACACAUGCAAGUCGAACGGUAACAGGAAUCAGCUUGCUGAUUCGCUGACGAGUGGCGGACGGGUGAGUAAUGUCUGGGAAACUGCCUGAUGGAGGGGGAUAACUACUGGAAACGGUAGCUAAUACCGCAUAACGUCGCAAGACCAAAGAGGGGGACCUUCGGGCCUCUUGCCAUCGGAUGUGCCCAGAUGGGAUUAGCUAGUAGGUGGGGUAACGGCUCACCUAGGCGACGAUCCCUAGCUGGUCUGAGAGGAUGACCAGCCACACUGGAACUGAGACACGGUCCAGACUCCUACGGGAGGCAGCAGUGGGGAAUAUUGCACAAUGGGCGCAAGCCUGAUGCAGCCAUGCCGCGUGUAUGAAGAAGGCCUUCGGGUUGUAAAGUACUUUCAGCGGGGAGGAAGGGAGUAAAGUUAAUACCUUUGCUCAUUGACGUUACCCGCAGAAGAAGCACCGGCUAACUCCGUGCCAGCAGCCGCGGUAAUACGGAGGGUGCAAGCGUUAAUCGGAAUUACUGGGCGUAAAGCGCACGCAGGCGGUUUGUUAAGUCAGAUGUGAAAUCCCCGGGCUCAACCUGGGAACUGCAUCUGAUACUGGCAAGCUUGAGUCUCGUAGAGGGGGGUAGAAUUCCAGGUGUAGCGGUGAAAUGCGUAGAGAUCUGGAGGAAUACCGGUGGCGAAGGCGGCCUCCUGGACGAAGACUGACGCUCAGGUGCGAAAGCGUGGGGAGCAAACAGGAUUAGAUACCCUGGUAGUCCACGCCGUAAACGAUGUCGACUUGGAGGUUGUGCCCUUGAGGCGUGGCUUCCGGAGCUAACGCGUUAAGUCGACCGCCUGGGGAGUACGGCCGCAAGGUUAAAACUCAAAUGAAUUGACGGGGGCCCGCACAAGCGGUGGAGCAUGUGGUUUAAUUCGAUGCAACGCGAAGAACCUUACCUGGUCUUGACAUCCACGGAAGUUUUCAGAGAUGAGAAUGUGCCUUCGGGAACCGUGAGACAGGUGCUGCAUGGCUGUCGUCAGCUCGUGUUGUGAAAUGUUGGGUUAAGUCCCGCAACGAGCGCAACCCUUAUCCUUUGUUGCCAGCGGUCCGGCCGGGAACUCAAAGGAGACUGCCAGUGAUAAACUGGAGGAAGGUGGGGAUGACGUCAAGUCAUCAUGGCCCUUACGACCAGGGCUACACACGUGCUACAAUGGCGCAUACAAAGAGAAGCGACCUCGCGAGAGCAAGCGGACCUCAUAAAGUGCGUCGUAGUCCGGAUUGGAGUCUGCAACUCGACUCCAUGAAGUCGGAAUCGCUAGUAAUCGUGGAUCAGAAUGCCACGGUGAAUACGUUCCCGGGCCUUGUACACACCGCCCGUCACACCAUGGGAGUGGGUUGCAAAAGAAGUAGGUAGCUUAACCUUCGGGAGGGCGCUUACCACUUUGUGAUUCAUGACUGGGGUGAAGUCGUAACAAGGUAACCGUAGGGGAACCUGCGGUUGGAUCACCUCCUUACCUUAAAGAAGC
This 1556-nucleotide ribosomal RNA is filed under the name Escherichia coli. RNAcentral's name for it is "bacterial SSU rRNA". It matches the Rfam family "Bacterial small subunit ribosomal RNA". The record is from RNAcentral. Lineage: Bacteria; Pseudomonadati; Pseudomonadota; Gammaproteobacteria; Enterobacterales; Enterobacteriaceae.